RNAcentral lists this ribosomal RNA (501 nucleotides) under Pseudognaptodon sp. RAW-2006. RNAcentral's name for it is "eukaryotic LSU rRNA". The record is from RNAcentral. Lineage: Eukaryota; Metazoa; Arthropoda; Insecta; Hymenoptera; Braconidae.
CAAGAGUACGUGAAACCGUUCAGGGGUAAACCUGAGAAACCCAAAAGAUCGAAUGGGGAGAUUCAUCGUCAGCUCAUUUUGUAUAUAUAUAAGUUGUGAUGUAGGUUACUACUUGUAGUCAAACCUGUACAUGCUUGUAUAUUUAGUUGCAAGAUGUUGUCGGCGUGCACUUCUCCCCUAGUAGGACGUCGCGACCCGUUAAGUUUGUCGGUCUACGGCCCAAGUGGUAGACUUUAAUUUUUUAUUAAAUUAAAGACCCUUGGUGAUUUCUGACUGGCACUUGGCGGUAUUCGUAUGGUAUUAAGCCGCAAUAUAUAUGCGUCCAUGGCCGUCGCAAGCAAGAUUAAUUUUUUAGUAGUACGGACCUAGUGCCGUCGCUAUAAUUAAUCAGCUGUUGGUUGUACGGUAAUCUAGGACUGGCUUUAAAAUAAAAUACCGGUCAGCGAUGCUACUGCUUUGGGUACUUUCAGGACCCGUCUUGAAACACGGACCAAGUUUAUU